AACUAUUUCCUACUUUGAAUUCUCGCCAUGAGCAUUGAAAAUACGGUGAGAAGUUAGUUCGAAUAACCGAGAUUCGAUCGUGCAGUUUCGGUCACGAUUUCAGACACUUAUUAAUCAGUUGGCGACUAAUUACAGCGCGAUGUACGGAAGAACCGACACACGUACCAGUCCAAAUUCGCACCAAACCAGCGAACACACACACGCGAAGUUUCUUUAUAAAGGCAAACCGGCAAGAGAGAGAAAGAGAGAGACUGAUAGAAAUGUCGUGACUCCUCGAUACACGCGGUUGUACAAGCGUUCGACAUAAAUCAUGACACACUUACGACUAAUCUAUCCGUAUCGUUGACACGCGAUGAGAGAAGCAGACGAAUGAAAAAAACCUCGUGUACAUUGUGACACGAAAGUUAUGACACGUUCGACUGAUAAAAAGCAAAAAAAUGACAAAAAAAAAAAACAUCGAAAACAAAUCUGCUGUGAUUUAAUCGUGUUUUCUUAUGUUUCUUUAUUCAUGAGAAGAUUUAUAAAUACUCUCACCGAUCGUCCAACAUCGAAUGCAAUCUUUACCUUCGGAGAUGCUCGAAAUGGCGACGUCAAGGUCCUCAACUUCCGCGUAUACGUUUAUUUUUACUUUUAUUUUGCUCUGUUGUUUUUCUCCUUCUUGCAAGGAGUCUCCUUCCCAUUUCGAGCCUCAUUUCCUUGCCUAUCAUUAUAAAGAAUAGCGGUACGAAGGGAGAUCGCACAACCUCAUCUAUCCUGUCGCUCCCUCUCUCUCUCUCUCUCUCGUAUUCUUUACUCGAAACACUGUGACCGAAGCAACUUUGCGAUAUAAUAUUGUCGAGAGUUUACAUUCGCCUCGCUGAGCUCAAGAGCGAUCUAUGUGACCACCGACCGACUCACACCCGCCAUAUUUGGACUUAAUCAUCGGCGCGGAGACUCAUCGUCAUAAUUUACAGAAUUCUUCGCAACGGCUCAUUACAGAGGAACUUUUUGUACGUUCGUACGUAUAUUUUCGUAUCGACUGCAACGGAUCCGUGGCUCGCCCAUCAUCCGGAGGCACUUUUUCCAAGUUGAUAAAUUCCAGGUGAUAAAUCAGCUGGAAUUCAUCCGAAAUAAAAAUAAACUCAGAAACGCAGAAGAAAUUCAUCGAAAUUUGUCGUGUUUUUUCGCACUAGAAAACUUCGGUGUUGCCGGCUCACGACUUAGCCAGGAUUCAUCAUCGAAUUUUAGUUGAGUUUUAUCAUCAACGAGAGAAAAAAAGGUCAAAAUUCAUCAUUCUAACACGAACUUUUCUCCUUUUAAUCACAAAUAAUAUUGCUGGUUGUUCAAAAUGUUUAGAUGUUCAGGUGAUUUGUGAAAUAUAUUAAACGUUUAUUAUCUAGUGUGAAUAUUGCCGGUUUAUAAUCGAUGCUUUACUAAACCAUAAGAAACUAAAAAUGAGUGAAAAAUAGUUUGAUGCUUCUUCUGUUUUGUUGCUGAAUUUUUAUUCCAUCAAUAAAUCUUGAUGAAAUAAGAUCACGACAUCGACCUAUUCAACCUGUAAAUGGAUAUUUCACUCAUUCAUUAGUGCAAAAAGAUCAAACCACGAUUUUAGUCGUCUCACAAAAUUCAAGUUGGAUUUCACAUGUCGAUUUUGUGAGAUCUUGUUGUACGUAGAAUUCUAAUGUGUUCUCGUUCUCAUCAAUCUAUUCGAAAUAAACAAUUAUUUAUUGUGA
RNAcentral lists this long non-coding RNA (1712 nucleotides) under Venturia canescens. Its description in RNAcentral is "uncharacterized LOC122408845". Lineage: Eukaryota; Metazoa; Arthropoda; Insecta; Hymenoptera; Ichneumonidae. The record is from RNAcentral.